Cephalotrichum gorgonifer is the source of this 89-nucleotide non-coding RNA. Lineage: Eukaryota; Fungi; Ascomycota; Sordariomycetes; Microascales; Microascaceae. The record is from the annotation of a GenBank genome assembly.
GGGCGGCUGGCGCAAUGGUAGCGCGUUGCUCUCCUAUCCUCGGAGUGGAGCGCAAGCAAAGGUUGCAGGUUCGAGUCCUGCGUCGCUCG